CAAAGCAUUGCGAUGGUCC
Molecule: small RNA, 19 nt
Filed under: Arabidopsis thaliana (thale cress)
Lineage: Eukaryota; Viridiplantae; Streptophyta; Magnoliopsida; Brassicales; Brassicaceae
Description: AGO1_2761
Source: RNAcentral